RNAcentral lists this ribosomal RNA (467 nucleotides) under uncultured bacterium. RNAcentral's name for it is "partial 16S ribosomal RNA". It matches the Rfam family "Bacterial small subunit ribosomal RNA", at positions 28 to 506 of the family's 1533-position model. The record is from RNAcentral.
GACGAACGCUGGCGGCGUGCUUAACACAUGCAAGUCGAACGGAAAGGCCCUGCUUUUGUGGGGUGCUCGAGUGGCGAACGGGUGAGUAACACGUGAGUAACCUGCCCUUGACUUUGGGAUAACUUCAGGAAACUGGGGCUCAUACCGGAUAGGAGCUCCUGCUGCAUGGUGGGGGUUGGAAAGUUUCGGCGGUUGGGGAUGGACUCGCGGCUUAUCAGCUUGUUGGUGGGGUAGUGGCUUACCAAGGCUUUGACGGGUAGCCGGCCUGAGAGGGUGACCGGCCACAUUGGGACUGAGAUACGGCCCAGACGCCUACGGGAGGCAGGAGUGGGGAAUAUUGCACAAUGGGCGGAAGCCUGAUGCAGCAACGCCGCGUGCGGGAUGACGGCCUUCGGGUUGUAAACCGCUUUCGCCUGUGACGAAGCGUGAGUGACGGUAAUGGGUAAAGAAGCACCGGCUAACUACGU